AAACUUUCAACAACGGAUCUCUUGGUUCUGGCAUCGAUGAAGAACGCAGCGAAAUGCGAUAAGUAAUGUGAAUUGCAGAAUUCAGUGAAUCAUCGAAUCUUUGAACGCACAUUGCACCCUCUGGUAUUCCGGGGGGUAUGCCUGUUCGAGCGUCAUUU
Molecule: ribosomal RNA, 158 nt
Filed under: uncultured Helotiales
Lineage: Eukaryota; Fungi; Ascomycota; Leotiomycetes; Helotiales
Description: 5.8S ribosomal RNA
Rfam family: 5.8S ribosomal RNA
About the family: 5.8S ribosomal RNA (5.8S rRNA) is a component of the large subunit of the eukaryotic ribosome.
Source: RNAcentral